This is a non-coding RNA of Gossypium hirsutum (cotton), 107 nucleotides long. The record is from Rfam. NCBI's taxonomy places the organism in Eukaryota, Viridiplantae, Streptophyta, Magnoliopsida, Malvales, Malvaceae.
AGUCAAUGAUGAGGACAUAUUCUCAACAAAUCCUUAAAUCUCUCCCAUGUAUCCUAAAGCAUCUCAAUACCAAACUGAAGAAAAGAAGAGAUUUCAUUCCUCAACUU